RNAcentral lists this long non-coding RNA (398 nucleotides) under Daucus carota (carrot). Its description in RNAcentral is "long non-coding RNA (DCAR_LNC006909)". Lineage: Eukaryota; Viridiplantae; Streptophyta; Magnoliopsida; Apiales; Apiaceae. The record is from RNAcentral.
CUCGCCGGAAACGUCGACGGAGGCGUUUUCCGGCCCAGAACACGCUCAAAACGUGCAGAUCACUCCUCCUAGUUAGCAGAAACCAUUUCACAACCUCAAAUCAGCCUAUUCAUCGUUUAUUCAGCCGGAUUUUUGUCCGGAAAAACAGCCACCGUCGAGUUCUUCAAGAACUCCGGCGACGCCCUACACAACUCGUUCGUCUACCUUAAAGUCAUUAAACGAUUCCUUGAUUCCUAUAGAACAUGCUAGUAGCCUCUGAUUUUGCCCAGAAGCCACCGAUUGUAAACCCACAAAUUUCAAUUAAAAAUAUUCAAGAACACGAAGAACACUCAACCAAGAAUCAAACUAACUUCUCUAUAUGAUUCCGAACUCCAAAUUCAACAUAUAAUAUACCAAAA